Molecule: transfer RNA, 61 nt
Filed under: Argiope bruennichi
Lineage: Eukaryota; Metazoa; Arthropoda; Arachnida; Araneae; Araneidae
Description: tRNA-Ala
Source: RNAcentral
AUUUUUUUUUUUUUUAAAAAGUUUUAAUUUGAUUUGCAAUCAAUUAAUAUGUAAAGCAUAC